Molecule: ribosomal RNA, 460 nt
Filed under: uncultured bacterium
Lineage: Bacteria
Description: partial 16S ribosomal RNA
Rfam family: Bacterial small subunit ribosomal RNA
Source: RNAcentral
UCUACGGGUGGCUGCAGUGAGGAAUAUUGGUCAAUGGACGAGAGCCUGAACCAGCCAAGUAGCGUGAGGGAUGACGGCUCUAUGGAUUGUAAACUUCUUUUAUAUGGGAAUAAAGUGCGGGACGUGUGGCGUUUUGUAUGUACCAUAUGAAUAAGGAUCGGCUAACUCCGUGCCAGCAGCCGCGGUAAUACGGAGGAUCCGAGCGUUAUCCGGAUUUAUUGGGUUUAAAGGGAGCGUAGAUGGGUUGUUAAGUCAGUUGUGAAAGUUUGCGGCUCAACCGUAAAAUUGCAGUUGAUACUGGCAGCCUUGAGUACAGUAGAGGUAGGCGGAAUUCGUGGUGUAGCGGUGAAAUGCUUAGAUAUCACGAAGAACUCCGAUUGCGAAGGCAGCUCACUAAACUGCCACUGACACUGAGGCUCGAAAGUGUGGGUAUCAAACAGGAUUAGAUACCCUAGUAGUC